Non-coding RNA from Macaca mulatta (Rhesus monkey), 371 nucleotides. Lineage: Eukaryota; Metazoa; Chordata; Mammalia; Primates; Cercopithecidae. The record is from RefSeq and is a predicted model, not a curated record.
CUCCCCGUCGCCCUGGUUCGGCCUCCCUCCCUCCCCCGCCAGCAGAGGCCGCUGUCCCACGGGCUGGUCCCGUUGGCGCCGGGGCCGGGCCUCCUUGGAGCGCCUGGCUGCAGCCUCCGGAACUGUCUCCGCACAAACCGAAACAAUUUCGAGAGAGAUGUGUGUUCUGCAACCAGCCACAGAAUAACAGGUGAGCUGGGCGUGUCUUCACUGACCCACCCGCCCAGGGAUGCUGCACUCCUCCACCCUGCUCAGGAUCACUGCAAUGACCGUUCUGUGGCUACAGCCCUAAAAGAGCUACUAAAAAGACCAGAAGUCGUAUGAGAACUUAUGAAUACAAAUAUAAAUAAAGGACAUCUGGAGAACAUGCA